This 1114-nucleotide unclassified non-coding RNA is filed under the name Marshallia obovata. RNAcentral's name for it is "external transcribed spacer". The record is from RNAcentral. Lineage: Eukaryota; Viridiplantae; Streptophyta; Magnoliopsida; Asterales; Asteraceae.
UCUUAAUGUAUAUAUAGGGGGGUACCCAGAGAGGAUCCGUCGUGGCGACAGACUAGCGUCAAGCCCCCCAACUAGUCACGAGUCCCUAUCCUUGAGACGGAUCAGCCGGUGAGUGAUCGUGUUCCAAAUUUUUGGGGCACAUCUUGGUAUGCUCGAGACGAAAAGAAAAAAAUUGGUGAUCGGUUACCUAAUGAGAAUACAUUGAAUGGAUUGUGGCCUAUAAAGAUCAGUAGCAAAUUAUCAAGCCCCCCACCUAGUCACGUGUCCCAAAGCUUGGGGCACACGGUAUGGUUGAGAUGGAUUGUGUUCAAAAUUUUUGGGGCACAUGUUGGUAUGCUCGAGACGAAUUCUUGGUUGGUGAUCGGUUACCUAGUGAGAAUACAUUGAAUGGAUUGCGGCCUAUAAAGAUCAGUAGCAAAUUAUCAAGCCCCCCACCUAGUCACGUGUCCCAUAGCUUGGGGCACACGGUAUGGUUGAGAAGGAUCCGUCGGUGGGUGAUCGUGUUCCAAAUUUUUGGGGCACAUGUCGGUAUGCUUGAGACGAAUUCAUGGUUGGUGAUCUGGUGCCUAGUGAGAAUAUAUUGAAUGGAAUGCGGCCUAUAAAGAUCAGUUGCAUAUUGUGAUUUGUUGUCUAGCGUCCCUAUGGUUACUUCGCAUGUCCCGAUGCUUGUCUAUAACAAAGCUAGGCUUCAAGACGGUUGGUUAGUGAUUGGUUACCUAGUGAUAAUAUACUGAAUGGAUUGUUGAGGGUUGGAAACAUGGACGUACAAACACCAAUCGGCCUUUGUCCCGAUUGCUGAGUGUUAUGUGCUUGAUGUUGAAGAUUCUUGGCGUCUUUGAUGUAUGUUACAUAGAUAAUCAGUUGCUUCGUGGCAUAAUAGAGCUAAUCAGUUGCCUUGCAACCUAGCACUUUUGUCUUAGAUUUCAUUGAGGCAUGGUGAUCAUAGGGAUGGGAAGGUGGCUUUCAAGAAUUUUCGCAUCGUUCGGUUCAUUUUGGGGGCUAUUUUGGCUUUUGGUUGCCUACAUGGUGAUUGUGCUAUGUUGGUGGCUAAUUGUUGGAUGGUCUCUGAGUAUGUAGGCCGUAAAGGUGCAUGAGUGGUGUUUGGUUUGUUAUG